UCCUACGGGAGGCAGCAGUGGGGAAUAUUGCACAAUGGGGGAAACCCUGAUGCAGCCAUGCCGCGUGUGUGAAGAAGGCCUUCGGGUUGUAAAGCACUUUCAGUUGUGAGGAAAAGUUAGUAGUUAAUACCUGCUAGCCGUGACGUUAACAACAGAAGAAGCACCGGCUAACUCCGUGCCAUCAGCCGCGGUAAUACGGAGGGUGCGAGCGUUGAUCGGAAUUACUGGGCGUAAAGCGCACGCAGGCGGUUUGUUAAGCUAGAUGUGAAAGCCCCGGGCUCAACCUGGGAUGGUCAUUUAUAACUGGCGGACUACAGUCUUGGAGAGGGGAGUGGAAUUCCAGGUGUAGCGGUGAAAUGCGUAGAUAUCUGGAGGAACAUCAGUGGCGAAGGCGACUCCCUGGCCAAAGACUGACGCUCAUGUGCGAAAGUGUGGGUAGCGAACAGGAUUACAUACCCUGGUAUUCCACACCGUAAACGCUGUCAACUAUCUGUGUGUGCCUUUAACGCGUGCGUGUCGAACCUAACGCGCUAAAUAGACCGCCUGGGGAGUACGGCCGCGAGGUUAACACUCAAAUGAAUUGACUG
This 587-nucleotide ribosomal RNA is filed under the name uncultured bacterium. Its description in RNAcentral is "bacterial SSU rRNA". It matches the Rfam family "Bacterial small subunit ribosomal RNA", at positions 337 to 916 of the family's 1533-position model. The record is from RNAcentral.